Molecule: ribosomal RNA, 3015 nt
Filed under: Lactobacillus johnsonii
Lineage: Bacteria; Bacillati; Bacillota; Bacilli; Lactobacillales; Lactobacillaceae
Description: 23S ribosomal RNA
Rfam family: Bacterial large subunit ribosomal RNA
Source: RNAcentral
AGGUCAAGUAGAAAAGGGCGCAUGGUGAAUGCCUUGGCACUAGAAGCCGAUGAAGGACGUGACGAACCACGAAAGGCUUCGGGGAGCAGUAAGUAAGCAAUGAUCCGGAGAUAUCCGAAUGGGGGAACCCAAUACCGCGAGGUAUUAUCAUUAACUGUUAAGGUUAAUGAAGGAAGACGCAGUGAACUGAAACAUCUAAGUAGCUGCAGGAAGAGAAAGAAAAAUCGAUUUCCCAAGUAGCGGCGAGCGAACAGGAAAGAGCCCAAACCAGCUGGCUUGCCAGUUGGGGUUGUAGGACUGCGAUAUAGUACUUGAAGUGAUAGCAGAAUUAUCUGGAAAGAUAAGCCAGAGAGGGUGAGAGCCCCGUACGCGAAAUUGCGGAGAGACUUAGCAGGAUCCUGAGUAGGUCGGGACACGAGAAAUCCCGAUUGAAACCGCGAGGACCAUCUCGCAAGGCUAAAUACUAACUAGUGACCGAUAGUGAACCAGUACCGUGAGGGAAAGGUGAAAAGAACCCCGGAAGGGGAGUGAAAGAGAACCUGAAACCGUGUGCCUACAAGUAGUCAGAGCACAUUAAAGUGUAAUGGCGUGCCUUUUGUAGAAUGAACCGGCGAGUUACGUUAUGGUGCAAGGUUAAGUCAGAAAAGACGGAGCCGGAGCGAAAGCGAGUCUGAAUAGGGCGAAAGAGUAUCAUGACGUAGACCCGAAACCAAGUGACCUACCCAUGACCAGGUUGAAGGCGUGGUAAAACACGCUGGAGGACCGAACCCACGUGAGUUAAAAAUCGCGGGGAUGAGUUGUGGGUAGCGGUGAAAUUCCAAACGAACUUGGAGAUAGCUGGUUCUCUCCGAAAUAGCUUUAGGGCUAGCCUCGUGUGAAUGAUAAUGGAGGUAGAGCGCUGUUUGGACUAGGGGCCCGUCAGGGGUUACUGAAUCCAGAUAAACUCCGAAUGCCAGAUAUCAAUGCACGGGAGUCAGACUGCGAGUGAUAAGAUCCGUAGUCGAAAGGGAAACAGCCCAGAUCACCAGUUAAGGUCCCCAAAUCUAUGCUAAGUGGAAAAGGAUGUGGAGUUGCGUAGACAACUAGGAUGUUGGCUUAGAAGCAGCCACCAUUUAAAGAGUGCGUAAUAGCUCACUAGUCGAGUGACGCUGCGCCGAAAAUGUACCGGGGCUAAGCAUAGUACCGAAACUGUGGAUGCAUAUAUUAUAUGCGUGGUAGGAGAGCGUUCUAAGUGCGGCGAAGUUAGAUCGAGAGGACUAAUGGAGCGCUUAGAAGUGAGAAUGCCGGUAUGAGUAGCGAAAGAUAGGUGAGAAUCCUAUCCGCCGAAAGACUAAGGUUUCCUGGGGCAGGCUCGUCCGCCCAGGGUAAGUNNNNNNNNNNUCGGGACCNNNNNNNNUAANNNNNNNNNNNNNNNNNNNNNNNNNNNNNNNNNNNNNNNNNNNNNNNNNNNNNNNNNNNNNNNNNNNNNNNNNNNNNNNNNNNNNNNCCAGGGUAAGGCCGAGAGGCGUAGCCGAUGGACAACAGGUAGAAAUUCCUGUACUGAAAUUGUUCGAUAUGAGCAAAGGAGGGACGCAGGAGGCUAAUGACGCAUGUUGCUGGAAAUACAUGUGCAAGCAGUAAGAAAAAAGAUGAGUCAAAUGCUUGUCUUUAGAUUUCAAGCUGUGAUGCGGAGCGAAAUAAAAGUAGCGAAGGUCAUGAUGUCACACUGCCAAGAAAAGCUUCUAGCCAGAACAAUUUUACCCGUACCGCAAACCGACACAGGUAGUCGAGUGGAGAACACUCAGGUGAGCGAGAGAACUCUCGUUAAGGAACUCGGCAAAAUGACCCCGUAACUUCGGGAGAAGGGGUGCUGAUAGUAAAAUAUCAGCCGCAGUGAAUAGGCCCAAACAACUGUUUAUCAAAAACACAGGUAUCUGCAAAAUCGUAAGAUGACGUAUAGGUGCUGACACCUGCCCGGUGCUGGAAGGUUAAGAGGAGAGCUUAGCGCAAGCGAAGGUUUGAAUUGAAGCCCCAGUAAACGGCGGCCGUAACUAUAACGGUCCUAAGGUAGCGAAAUUCCUUGUCGGGUAAGUUCCGACCUGCACGAAAGGUGUAAUGAUUUGGGCACUGUCUCAACGAGAGACUCGGUGAAAUUAUAAUACCCGUGAAGAUGCGGGUUACCCGCGACAGGACGGAAAGACCCCAUGGAGCUUUACUGUAGCUUGAUAUUGAGUAUUUGUUAAACAUGUACAGGAUAGGUAGGAGCCAGAGAAAGUAGGACGCUAGUCUUACCGGAGGCAAUGUUGGGAUACUACCCUUGUUUGAUGGAUCCUCUAACUCACAGAGCUGAGCGUUCUGGAGGACAGUGUCAGGUGGGCAGUUUGACUGGGGCGGUCGCCUCCUAAAGUGUAACGGAGGCGCCCAAAGGUUCCCUCAGAAUGGUUGGAAAUCAUUCGCAGAGUGUAAAGGUAUAAGGGAGCUUGACUGCGAGAGCUACAACUCGAGCAGGGACGAAAGUCGGGCUUAGUGAUCUGGUGGUACUGCAUGGAAAGGCCAUCACUCAACGGAUAAAAGCUACCCUGGGGAUAACAGGCUUAUCUCCCCCAAGAGUUCACAUCGACGGGGAGGUUUGGCACCUCGAUGUCGGCUCGUCGCAUCCUGGGGCUGAAGUCGGUCCCAAGGGUUGGGCUGUUCGCCCAUUAAAGCGGCACGCGAGCUGGGUUCAGAACGUCGUGAGACAGUUCGGUCCCUAUCCGUCGUGGGCGUAGGAAAUUUGAGAGGAGCUGUCCUUAGUACGAGAGGACCGGGAUGGACAUACCGCUGGUGUACCAGUUGUCUUGCCAAAGGCAUCGCUGGGUAGCUAUGUAUGGAAGGGAUAAGCGCUGAAAGCAUCUAAGUGCGAAGCCCCCCUCAAGAUGAGAUUUCCGAUGCGAAAGCAGUAAGACACCUUAAAGACGAUGAGGUAGAUAGGCUAGGAGUGGAAGCAUAGCGAUAUGUGGAGCGGACUAGUACUAAUCAGUCGAGCACUUGACCAAA